RNAcentral lists this ribosomal RNA (459 nucleotides) under uncultured bacterium. RNAcentral describes it as "partial 16S ribosomal RNA". It matches the Rfam family "Bacterial small subunit ribosomal RNA", at positions 338 to 795 of the family's 1533-position model. The record is from RNAcentral.
CCUACGGGAGGCAGCAGUGAGGAAUAUUGGUCAAUGGGCGCAGGCCUGAACCAGCCAAGUCGCGUGAGGGAAGACUGCCCUAUGGGUUGUAAACCUCUUUUAUAAGGGAAGAAUAAGGACUACGUGUAGUCAGAUGCCCGUACCUUAAGAAUAAGCAUCGGCAAACUCCGUGCCAGCAGCCGCGGUAAUACGGAGGAUGCGAGCGUUAUCCGGAUUUAUUGGGGUUAAAGGGUGGGUAGGCGGGUGUCCAAGUUAGUGGUAAAACGUCGGGGCUAAACCUUGAAUGGCCAUUGAAACUGGAGUACUAGAGUACAGACGAGGUAGGCGGAAUGAGUGGAGUAGCGGUGAAAUGCUUAGAUAUCACGCAGAACCCCGAUAGCGAAGGCAGCUUACCGGACCGUUACUGACGCUGAGGCACGAAAGCGUGGGUAGCGAACAGGAUUAGAUACCCGGGUAGUC